AUACUUAUGUAGCCAAGGAGAUACCAUGAUCACACGUGGUUUCCCCGGGGUGAAGUUUAUCCAUUACACUCCAGAUGUGCUGGCCCUGCAAUUUCCCCAAAUUUGGGAAACUUGACUGCAUACUUGUGGUAGUGGAGGACUGUGUUCUCACUCUCCUCUG
Molecule: small nuclear RNA, 160 nt
Organism: Microtus ochrogaster (prairie vole)
Lineage: Eukaryota; Metazoa; Chordata; Mammalia; Rodentia; Cricetidae
Gene: U1
Rfam family: U1 spliceosomal RNA
About the family: U1 is a small nuclear RNA (snRNA) component of the spliceosome (involved in pre-mRNA splicing).
Source: Ensembl